Molecule: ribosomal RNA, 595 nt
Filed under: Ramalinaceae sp.
Lineage: Eukaryota; Fungi; Ascomycota; Lecanoromycetes; Lecanorales; Ramalinaceae
Description: SSU rRNA
Rfam family: Bacterial small subunit ribosomal RNA
Source: RNAcentral
GUGUCAGCAGUGUCGGUAUGAGGUAUAAGAGUAGUGUUUUCUUCUUUAGCAGGUUUAAAGGGUAUUAGACGGCAGAUCUCGCUAUAGUAAGGACUAGUCUGCUAGAGUUUUUUGUAAAGGGGCUUUAAAAUUUAAGGGAGUAGAGAUAAAAUGUUAGCAUACCUUUUUUUGGUAAGAAAAAAUAAUGGCACUGAUAAAGGCGAAAACAUCCCCUUAUGUGAUAACUGACGUUAAAGGACGAAGGCUUUGUGUUGCGAACAGGAUUAGAUACCCUGGUAGUCGAAGCAGAGAAUGAUGAGUGUCAUAGAUUAGAAUAAGUUUAAUCUAUAAAUGAAAGUGUAAACACUCCACUUUAAGAGUAAUGUGGCAACACCGAAAUUGAAAUCAUUAGACCGUUUUUGAAACCAGUAGUGAAGUAUGUUGUUUAAUUUGAUGACACACAAAAAACCUUACCACAACUUGAAUAUUUAUAAUUAAUUAUAUUUACAAGCGUUGCACGGCUGUCUUAAGUUAAUGUCGUGAGAAUUUGGUUAGCUCCAUCAAAUUGACGUAAACCCUUGUUUUAUUUUUAUAUAGAACAGUUCACCGUUAUAUG